This 788-nucleotide ribosomal RNA is filed under the name Streptomyces sp. 12-26. Its description in RNAcentral is "bacterial SSU rRNA". It matches the Rfam family "Bacterial small subunit ribosomal RNA", at positions 56 to 859 of the family's 1533-position model. The record is from RNAcentral. Lineage: Bacteria; Bacillati; Actinomycetota; Actinomycetes; Kitasatosporales; Streptomycetaceae. RNAcentral also lists the same sequence under 1 other name.
UGCAAGUCGAACGAUGAAGCCUUUCGGGGUGGAUUAGUGGCGAACGGGUGAGUAACACGUGGGCAAUCUGCCCUUCACUCUGGGACAAGCCCUGGAAACGGGGUCUAAUACCGGAUAACACUCUGUCCCGCAUGGGACGGGGUUAAAAGCUCCGGCGGUGAAGGAUGAGCCCGCGGCCUAUCAGCUUGUUGGUGGGGUAAUGGCCUACCAAGGCGACGACGGGUAGCCGGCCUGAGAGGGCGACCGGCCACACUGGGACUGAGACACGGCCCAGACUCCUACGGGAGGCAGCAGUGGGGAAUAUUGCACAAUGGGCGAAAGCCUGAUGCAGCGACGCCGCGUGAGGGAUGACGGCCUUCGGGUUGUAAACCUCUUUCAGCAGGGAAGAAGCGAAAGUGACGGUACCUGCAGAAGAAGCGCCGGCUAACUACGUGCCAGCAGCCGCGGUAAUACGUAGGGCGCAAGCGUUGUCCGGAAUUAUUGGGCGUAAAGAGCUCGUAGGCGGCUUGUCACGUCGGAUGUGAAAGCCCGGGGCUUAACCCCGGGUCUGCAUUCGAUACGGGCUAGCUAGAGUGUGGUAGGGGAGAUCGGAAUUCCUGGUGUAGCGGUGAAAUGCGCAGAUAUCAGGAGGAACACCGGUGGCGAAGGCGGAUCUCUGGGCCAUUACUGACGCUGAGGAGCGAAAGCGUGGGGAGCGAACAGGAUUAGAUACCCUGGUAGUCCACGCCGUAAACGUUGGGAACUAGGUGUUGGCGACAUUCCACGUCGUCGGUGCCGCAGCUAACGCA